Molecule: unclassified non-coding RNA, 319 nt
Filed under: uncultured fungus
Lineage: Eukaryota; Fungi
Description: partial contains small subunit ribosomal RNA, internal transcribed spacer 1, and 5.8S ribosomal RNA
Rfam family: Eukaryotic small subunit ribosomal RNA (bases 1-73)
Source: RNAcentral
GCAAACUUGGUCAUUUAGAGGAAGUAAAAGUCGUAACAAGGUUUCCGUAGGUGAACCUGCGGAAGGAUCAUUAAUGAAUUUAAACGAUGAGGUUGUCGCUGACCCUUGUGGUAUGUGCACGCCUUGUCAAUUCAUCCAUAUACCUCUGUGCACUCUUCAUAGGUUGGCUCAUAUGUGGUUGCUUUUUAGUAGCUCCGAGUCUCUCUAUGUAUUUUAUUACAAACAUUAUAAAGUCUAAGAAUGUCAUUAGCGUCUAACGCAUUUAAAUACAACUUUCAGCAACGGAUCUCUUGGCUCUCGCAUCGAUGAAGAACGCAGC